This 376-nucleotide ribosomal RNA is filed under the name Salmonella enterica subsp. enterica serovar Infantis. Its description in RNAcentral is "bacterial SSU rRNA". It matches the Rfam family "Bacterial small subunit ribosomal RNA", at positions 1 to 373 of the family's 1533-position model. Lineage: Bacteria; Pseudomonadati; Pseudomonadota; Gammaproteobacteria; Enterobacterales; Enterobacteriaceae. The record is from RNAcentral. RNAcentral also lists the same sequence under 1 other name.
AAAUUGAAGAGUUUGAUCAUGGCUCAGAUUGAACGCUGGCGGCAGGCCUAACACAUGCAAGUCGAACGGUAACAGGAAGCAGCUUGCUGCUUCGCUGACGAGUGGCGGACGGGUGAGUAAUGUCUGGGAAACUGCCUGAUGGAGGGGGAUAACUACUGGAAACGGUGGCUAAUACCGCAUAACGUCGCAAGACCAAAGAGGGGGACCUUCGGGCCUCUUGCCAUCAGAUGUGCCCAGAUGGGAUUAGCUUGUUGGUGAGGUAACGGCUCACCAAGGCGACGAUCCCUAGCUGGUCUGAGAGGAUGACCAGCCACACUGGAACUGAGACACGGUCCAGACUCCUACGGGAGGCAGCAGUGGGGAAUAUUGCACAAUG